RNAcentral lists this ribosomal RNA (375 nucleotides) under uncultured eukaryote. RNAcentral describes it as "SSU rRNA". It matches the Rfam family "Eukaryotic small subunit ribosomal RNA", at positions 587 to 969 of the family's 1831-position model. The record is from RNAcentral.
AGCUCCAAUAGCGUAUAUUAAAGUUGUUGCGGUUAAAAAGCUCGUAGUUGGAUUCCUGUAUGGAAGGGGCGUCCCCACCCUUUGGAUGGGGGUUGCUACCUUCUUUGCAUCUUCCGGAGUAGAUGUUCCUUACUUAAUUGUGAGGACAUCGUGCUCGGGUCAUUUACUUUGAGGAAAAGAGAGUGCUCCAAGCAGGCAAACGCCUGAAUACGUUAGCAUGGAAUAAUAGCAUCGGAUCAUCGUUCAGCUGUUGGUGUCUGGACGAGGAUAAAGGUGAACAGGGAUUGUUGGGGGCAUUCGUAUUUAACUGUCAGAGGUGAAAUUCUUGGAUUUGUUGAAGACGAGCUACUGCGAAAGCAUUUGCCAAAGAUGUUC